UUUUUUUAUAUUAUAUUAAAAAAAAUUAAUUUAUCUCUAACCUUUUCUGAAACACAGCCAAUCAUAAUUUCUUAGUGAGAUUAGUUACACAUGUUUCAGAAAUUUAAUGCAUACAGUAAAUGGGAAAUAUUUACGCACUCCUGUAAAAUGGCAGCUUUUGUGACGUUAAAAUAAGAAUAAAAAUAAAACCAUUUUUGCCACCCUCAAUAUGAAACUACAGCAUAUACUAUUUAAGUGAAAAACUACCAGAAAAAAAAAACAUUUAGGGGUAAAAAGAAAAAUUCUGUAGGAUUUCUUGGUUUAAUCUAACUGCUGAAGCCAUGAUUCAAAAAGAACAGCAUGGUAUCACACUUGUUGAAAGGUAUCAAUCAGGAGAGGGGUAUAAAGGGAUUUCCAUAAAUAUGAGCUCACCAUGGAACACCAUAAAGGCCAUCAUCAACAAAUAAUGAGAAUAGAACACAGUGAUGUCACCAAGAGCAGGACGUCUCUCCAAAAUCUAUAAAAGUACAACACAAAACUUUGCACUGAGGCUGCCAAGAGACAUAUAGCAACAUUAAAGGAGCUUUAGAAAUAUCUGACAAGUACUGAUCAUUCUGUAUGGCUGGCUAUGGGGUGAGGUAGCAAAACAAUACCUAUAUAUCUCACAAAAAAUAUCAUGCUCACUAAAUCACACCAAACUAUGCAAAUAAAUCACAUCACUCCAUGUAGCAAAAUGUGUUCUGGUCUUAUGAGCCUAAUCCCAAAAUGUAUAAUUGCAUAAUUCCAAAAGGUAUGUUUGUUGCAAAAAUUUAAGAACACCAUACCCACGCUGCAGCAUCAUGCUUUUGAGCUGUUUUUCUGGAGCUAGGGCUAUUAUUAUUAUGAAUAGCUACAAAUACCGUUUGAUUUUAGUGCAAAACCUUCAGGUGUCUCCAUGUAAACUAAACACGAAAAGGAAUUUCACUUUUCAGCGAAACAGUGACCCAAAGCACACAUGAAAAUGGCUUAACCAACAGUUUUUGACUGAGUUAGCCAAAACCCAGACCUGAAUCCAACUAAAAAUUUGUGGCUUGAGCUAAAGCAGACUGUGCAUAUACAGGAGAUGCCCUUACAGUUUGAUGGAUCUAGAACACAUUUGCAAGAAAACAUUGCAGAGUCAGUCAUGAGGUGCCAAAAAGACACCUAAAUAAAAUCAGAAGGAGCUUCAAGUCAGUAUUAUUUUAGGGAUGUGCAACCAACUAUUUUAUUUUUUCCGAUUUUCCUGAUUAUUUUUUACUUCAUUGUAUACAUUGAAAUUUCACAUUGAGACUAGAAAAAAAGUUCUGAGAUGAUUUAUCAUGGCUUCAUUUUUUAACAGGGGUGUGUAGACUUUCAAUUAUAUGUAAUUCAUUAUUAUAUUAAUAUUAUUAAUUAUCCAUCAUAUAUUAUUAAUUGGAAAGAAAAUGCCUACAUUUAAAGCAAUUCCUCCUUCUCUGCCUUUACAUAUACAAGCACCUGCUUCCUCCCCAACAUCUUAUGCUAUGCUGUUUUAAUACCACUUAUUUCAAGUCUUGAGUGUAUUUCAUUAGCUGUAAGCUGGGAGCCAGUUAGCGAUUGGGCUUCUCCUGGGCACUGAGUGCCGUCUGAGGGAUAUGAGGGAUUGGUUAUGAGUGGAAAAGCAGCCGGGUGACCUGCACUCCACAAGCCUCCUCUAUUCAGCUCAACCGGGACCCAGUUAUCCUCUUAUCCCUCCAGUCUCAGUGGAGAGAGCAGGCAGCAUAGAGUACGAGGAGAACUGAUAAUGCUAGCACCCCCUUCCCAACCCAUCGUAAUCUUUUUCUUAUACAAAUGCUUUCAAAGAGAGCCAUGAAUUUUAAUAUCGCCCCCUCUACCCUCCUCAUUCGUCCUUCUAACAUAGUUCUAUGCCAGUUUUUUUCCCUGUGUGUUUCACUCCUACACAAAUAUCUGUGUUUUUUAAAUAUUUUCAGGUAGCCUAUUAUUCCUCCUCCUCUAAACUAACGCACUUUCCCGCCUUCAUAAUGCCAUUAUAUCAUGGCAUUCCCUUGCCUGAAUAAUUACCCAAGACACAGUCAUCUGUUAUCAUUUGGGGUUUGAAGGACACAUCGGGGGUCCCUGUUUCGCAGGCUCUGAAUCAGCGGUGACCCUGCUCAUGCCAUGUGGAGCCACUGUGAGAGCAAAGGCCUCGCUAAUCACAGCUUGUUACAAGGCUGCUAAUUGAACAAGCUCUGCCCUUUUUUUUCUAAGUCCUGAAAACAUCAUUUAGCUCUGCUAUUUGAGUCACUGAUGAAAAACAUUAGUGAGUGCAAAGAAGCACUAGCCACCAUGGAAAGCUCAGGCUUGUCACAGUAUAACUGCAUUUGUAUGUAAGUAUGUAGUGGCACAGUCAUGCAGUAUGUGUGAAUGAAGCAUUGCUGGUUUUGUUUAAACUGCAUGAUAUUUUGUAAUGGCUGAAGUGGCUGCCGCAAUGUGUGUGUGGGAGAGAAGGAAAGAGAGAAAGAGUGGCGUGUCUUUUCUGCUCUCCUCCAUCUUGACACAGCACACUCAGCCUAAUCACACAUAAUUGGAUGGGAGGAGUAAAGGGCUGCUGAAGCCUUUGUGUGCAAAGGGCAAGUGGUCAAGUUAAUGGGGCCCUCAUUCUGAGUAGAUGGAGAUCUCUCUCUCUCUCUCUCUCUCUCUCUCUCUCUCACUGUGUGUGUGUGAGUGAAUGUGAAUGUGUUUCUCUUUCCUUGGUUUACAUUUUUUUAUGCAGUGAUUACAGUGUAAAAGAGGAUUUAGGAGGGAAGAGUUUAAACUGUGGACCCACUGGUCUUACCUUUUUUUUCUUUUUACAAUAAUUAUUGAAAUAUUAAUUUUACAUUCUAUUUUUAAAUUUAAAUUGUCUUGAAUUUAAUAUCUUAAUUUCUGUAGUAAUUGCUGAAAGGAUUUCUUUUAUUUGAUUGUAAGGUAAUGACUAAAGGAUUAAACAAUAAGUAUUCUGUGUAUGAAAAAUAAAAGAAUGACUGAAUCAAUUAAAGUUGCUGAGGUCUCUACCUUGAUGAAGACCAAAUAUACUUUGUCACUGUUUUAAAAUUGUUCUGGCCAAAAUAAUGGUGCAUCAGAGUCCCUAUAAUGGUUUAUUAGUGGAUUGGGUACACCUCAUCUUCAGAGGUGGAUUCAAUGCAGUUGUUGAAAGUCCUUUAUCCAGAUAUUAAUCCAUUUUCUAAAGAGAUCAUUCUACCAAAAACUGAGCCCAUCAGUUACAUUACUCUAGAUACUAUAAACUCAGAUGUAUUGCUAUAUUACCUUAUCACAUCUUUUCCUGCUUCAGACUUCAACCAGCCUAUCAACUAAUUCUAAACACUCUGUCAGCAGUGUGUGGUUAUUGAUUUGAGUAUCAACUUCUCUCUUAAUCAGGUUUAUGGUGAUGUUUAGCACAUCUAUAGACUAUCAAUUCAUCCAUAGUCUGUAUUUCAGCUCACAUGGACUUAACUGAUACAUUUUAUUAUACGCUGAACAUGAACACCAUUUGAGAUGUUGAUAACUGGUAAAUUUGCUGUCUAAUGACAAUCUUAGGAUGAUUUGUACUAUCUAAAGUAGACUGUCCAAAUAAACUUUUACCACACUGGUUUGCUUUCCUUUAAAGAAGCUCCAUAUGCAUUAUACAUAAUAAACAUAUUAUGUUGCAUACUAACAUGAUCAUACUUCAAAAUUGUUUUCUGUUAUCAUUGUACUUUUAAUGAUGGGACAGCGUAAUUUUUCAUUCCCCUUCUCUCUCUAUCUUGUUCUAUCUGUUUUUCUAGAAGUUUUUCUACAGUGUUCAUCUUCCACUUUUCUAGACUCCCUAUUUUGUUAUACCUUAUAACUUUGCCUUAACUUAAAUCUGUCUACCCUGUCAUACAAUCCAAUCUCCUCAGCUGGGUAGACUCUAAAUGUCAUCAACAACAUCAUGAUGUUCCAUUCUUUCACAGUUGAGGUCAUUUUGGCACUGGCAUAAGGCAUAUCUAAGUACCGUAACGCUGCUGUGUGUGUUGUAGCUCUUCCCAGCAUGCAGUAACUGGGUGAGGAUAAACAGAAUGAUAAUGCUGUCAGACGUUGUUAUUCUUUCUGGCUAAUUUUCCCCCGUCUUGGCUUUAAUUCAGAUGUCAAAAUGGAGCCUGUCACAUUGUGUCCUCCCAGUCCUUCGGCUUCCACAUUCUCUCGUUACGCUCGCGCUUCCUUUCUUUCAUCUUUCCAUUCAUCGGAGGGAGGAAGGGAAAAUGUCACUCUCUUAGUGCUGUCCUCCAGCGCUUGUCAUCUUAACAGCAUCGGAGUGACAUCUGCCCCCGCCGGGAGAGUUCCCUCGGUGACAAGCACCCGUUACGAUGCCUCUGUCUGAUUGGAUAAUGAACUGUAAAAUUCCCCAUCAGUCAAUCAGUCCAGCUUUAUUAUUGUAGCUGUGACACCCAACACAAUCGAAUUGUCACUGAUUGUGUUAUGAUUUACACAAAGGCACUUGCUUUUAAAUUCCUUAAACAGACACGAGGAAUAUAAGACUUAAGGUCUGGCCAUGAACCAUGGAUUUAUGAAAGGUUUGUACGAAAAGAGCUCCUUAAUUUGCAACAUCUUGGAUCAUGUACUGGACUCCGGACUCUGACCCAUGCUGGUUCCAACAAUCAGUAGCAUCUUAAAGGAGAUCAUGUUGUACAAUGUCCUGCUCUCCCUUGGCUCCUCUCUACAACAAUGCCCUGACUGAGCCUUUCACUACGGCCAUGCUUGGCACAAAAGCACAACGGAAAUUGGGGUAACUUUGGGGAGGGCUUAGUGGGCCACUCUAUAAAGACAGGGGCCUCUUGGGUCAGGAUGGUGGUUAAUUUAAAAGCAGGAAGUCAUUGUCCUAAGAGGCAAAACAGUUGGGUAGGACAUUUCUUUAUUUCUGAAUGGGAUGGCUCCUUUUUGACGUUGUUUGUAUUCUGUUUGUAUCAGACCUCUGUGUCUUUGUUUGAGGAUGUGAGGUAUGUUGAACCUCCCUGGUUUGAUUAGAUACUUCCUCUGACCACACAGGGAUGGAACAUUGCCACUUCUGCACCAACCAGCCAAUUAUUCUAGUUGUAAAAUAAAUAAAAAUAAAAAUCAACAAAGUUGCUGUGUCAUACAUUUAUCCUCAGGUUUAUUUAAUUAUCAUUUUUUUUAUAUUAUAAUAACAUAUAUAUUUCUUAUGUUUGUUACAUUUUAUUGUUUUUCUUUACCAAACAGUUUUUCCUAUCUGUCCAGUUUUGUUAGAUUUGGUUACUAUAUAAAAGGAAUCCAUUCCGAUCAUUUUUAAUUCCCAUUAAUUUUGUUUACUCAGCUCUGCACUUUGUGUUCUGUUGUGUUUUUCUUCUAUUCUGUUUUAGAUUGUGCUCUUGGUGCUAUCACCUUUUGUCUGAAUGGGGCAAAUAUUUAGCAGCACCUCAGCAUGGCUGAAUUGGGACUCAAUUGGGGCUAAAUUGGGGCAGAUGGGUGCAGAGCAGCACUGAUGGUAAACAGAGCCUGUUUUGGGGGCCGCCAUGUUUGCCUGGCAGGUGAGAGAGGUGCUCUUGUGUUAAGUGGGCCAUUGCAGUGAGGGGCCCGCAUGCUGCUUGAGAAUGCCUAAAUUCUGCUCUCCACCAUCAGGCUUUGUCAGGCCUGCCUUUCUCAGGGCCCCAGAAUCAGGACCCCCCCACCAACACCCAAUGCGCGCUUCACAUCCUCCCCCUGGCAUGCUUGUAAGCGCAAAUGUGAAGUGGUUCAUUACAGACAGCCUCCUCUCUCCAGGUUCUGGAUGGAUUCCCAGCACUCCAGAUCUGUAACAGGAGGUCUGUCUGAGAAAGAAUGGCAGGGAGUUGUGAAAGGAAAACGUGGCUCAGAAAGGUCUUGUCGGCACUUCCUCCAGCAAAUUAGCAGCUCUCUGAGGGUACAAGUACAACUUCAUUGACCUGGCCAAUUCUGGAAAAUGUCCCACGCUGUCCUCCCCCAUGGCAGCCCAUCUCUGUUCUUCUGAUGACAUACCCCAGUUACUUCACCAAUUAAGAAGAGAAAUAGACCAGCUAUGAAAGCAUGGUGCUGUGCGGUUACGCACUGCCCUAACAGAGGAAUUUCUUCAUGCAGGUUAUUCUGUUUUUACACAAGUCUACAUUCCAUCUCACAUAAAAUCUUUGUUUAUUUAUGAUUCCGUAUUUAAGGGUCCUGUACACGUUUUGAUAACCUCACCAUUUUGUCAGCACCCUCAUUCACCUUUUCAAAUGAUCAUUUGGAUGCACAUGAAUCAGAGACAUACCCCCCUUCCCCCCGUCUUAGUCAAGGGCAUCUUGUGAAAGCCUUUCUAACUGCUAUCUUUUGCUCUGAUUAUUCAAUCAGGAACAGAUAAAGUAAUCUAACCUUGGACCAAAACACCACUGGCAUUCCUGCAUUUAGAAUCCUAAUGUUCUAUUACUAUUAUAGUCAAACAAAAUUCUAUACAUUGUAAUUUAGCAUUUAUUAUGCCAGGAAAGUCUGUCUGAAAUUAAAGCCCUUUCAGGUGUCUGUUUGACCUUCUCAAAAUUGCUUUGCUCUGAAAAACUUUAUUUAAAAAAAAAAAAAAAACUAGAAAGAAACCAUUCCAUAUGCUAGGAAUUCAGCAUUUCAUGUUUAAUUUAAAGUAGCUUUUUCUAUUUGAGUGUUAACAGACAAAUAUUUUGUCUUUUAUUUAUCAGAAAUCAGACUUACGAUAGCCCUGGAGAUGAGGAAGGCUGCAUUCACUUCAGAAGUGUGAAAUUUUUUCUGCAUGUAAGUCUACGCUUAUUGUAUGUGGGGGUUGGGUAUAUCCAUGUACCAGAAAAUGGGAUUUUACACCACAUCAGGAUACAAUGGCUGAUGAGCUUCCAAAGUGGGAUGAGAAGGAGAAAGGGUUAUACCCUACAACCAACUGACUGUCAAUUUGCUUACAUGGUAACCCUUAUGUCCAUGCUAAUGUCAACUAGACAGACAACAUUAUUAUUGGGUAAUUUGUCUGGCUGCAUUUCUGUUCGAGUGUGUGUGUCAGGGCCAGAUAGUUUCCCAUUGCUGUGUGUAUCCGGCAGGCUUCUAGAGUAUCUUAUCUUUUAAUGCCUUCAACUGAUCUUCCAAUUAUCCAUGCCACCUAAUAGCCUGGUUUUGGGAGGUGUGUGUGUUUCUGGUGGUGUUGGGGAGGCUGAAGGUGAGGAGUAGCACAAGGGGUGUAGACUGAUGAGGCCAGGUUUUAGGGUUCAGGCUUUAAGUGAUAGUUCUGCUUGAGAGAAUGGCUAAGGGUUUAUUGUGUAAGGGGGCAUGGGCUGUGUUCAGGUUGCCUUGUUUCAGGGCUUGCUGAUAACACCACCUCAGCCCUUGAGACAUCAUUCUGCUAUGUAUAUUAACACUGCUUAUCUUCACUCAGAUAAAGCCAUGUGCCAAUUGCCUUUCGGAGGAAUUAGCGCCUCAUCCCCGGCUAACCAGCAGUGAUUAACCUUUCCACUGGCCAGUAUCCUCUCCGUUGCCUCUUGGCUCAGAUUAGACUAGGCAUCAUUACUAGAAGUAAGACUGGUGAAAUGAGCUGCUGUGCCUUUCUCUGAUACUCACAGGAAAUCUAUGUGCGUUAGAACAGUAUGCAUAUCUGACAAUACUGUGUAUUUCUGCCUGUAGUGAAAACUUUAUUCCACAUCAGCAGAAUAGGCAGACAAACAUAUGCAAUUUAUAAACUGUCAAUCACUGGCAGUUUAUUCCUGUUGAGACUUCUCUCUCCAAUAGCCAUUUAAUCCAUUAACCAGCCCCCCUCCUAACCACUACCCAUUAUUCCACAAAUAUCAUAAUACGUUUUUCCACACACCCAAGACACAUACACAAAUCAAUUAUUUCCUCACAAAGACUUGAAAGUACUUAGCAAGAUGCCUGAAGGAAAAGCUGUGGGUUAUAUCAAAUUGAACCUCUCAUUUGUUUUUCUUUUUUGGCACAUGCACAGUCUCCGAGCACAAUUAGCCAGAGCUAAGCACGUUUGUUUGGCCUGCUUUAAUCCAGCCGGGCAUAUCUGUGUUAUUACAGAAUAAACCAGCAUGCAAAUACUAUUGUUGGAGGUUUUAGGGGCAUCAAUAGGACCGAGGCAGUGAGUAGGCUGGGUGGGCUGACUCAAUCUGCUGUGGGCAGGAGAUAAAGACCGGCGUUCAGGCACACUUUCCCAUCAUUAGCAAGACGCAAAUAAAGAAAAGAAACACAGAGCUGACAUGUGUAGUUAAUUGUUAACGUUAUUACUGUUGUAUUGUUCUUUAGCUCUCACUGGGAUGCACAUCUGUGGCUAGAUGUACAAUCUGGCUGAUCCUGGCAAAUGCAGAAAUCUUUAAGUGUAUUCCAAAGCAAAAAAAAAAAAAAAAAAUCUAUUUUCACUGUCUCCACUUGGCUAUCCUUACAGUGCCUAUUGUCUCUAAUUUUGCAAUCUUCUGUGCUGUAACUGACAUAUUAUCUCGGUGGGUUCAGUGCUGUUUUCCUUAUGUACUUCACCUAGGCUUUUAAUGAAAAUGUCAUAGAUGCAGUGUCAAAUGCUAAACACUUUCUGUAGUUGAGGUUAGUUAGUGUAACUGGACCUGCUGUGGUUUUACAUUCAGCAUAAAAUUUAGCAUUCUGCCCAUUUAGAUUCCUUAGUAUAAUUAUUCAUCAGUGGAGAUUCCCAAAGCAAAAAAUAAUUAAUAACACAGCAAAAUGGUUCCAACAAUCAGUUGUCAUUUUCCACUACAGCACCUGAACAUCAUCCACUCCCUAGUGUGCAAACACUGAGUGUGUCAGACACGGUUAAUGCAGCCUGAUUAAUAUUACACUUUGCUUCUCUAUUUCCACUGUCAACUGAAAUGCAAUAUAUUCAGUGUCACUCCCCUGUGACACAGCCCAUUAUAUCCUUACUGAAAAAUAUAUAAUCUCAUUCAUGUCCCUUUAUGCACGGACAAGUAUGCUUGUUGACCAGCCUGUAGUGAUAAAUAUGUGUGUAGAGCAAAUAUGUGGCCUUGGGAUGUAUUAUAUCCUUACACAACAAAAAUAAGCCAAUUGCAUAUUUUCCUUAAAUGUUAAGAAUAACUACAUAAUAAUACAAGUCAGUAAGGGGAAUAACACAGCUAGGUAUACUUGUACUAAAGCCUUUGUGUAAAGAAGUGACCGUUUGUUUGCUUCUAUGACUAAAGUAUUAGGGUUUAAAUGGCUCUUCACUUUUCACAUUUCAUUGUGUGAGAGUGACAGAGAAACAAAGCAAUGUGGAUUAGUUUCCUGAGCAGGUGAACACUGAAGAGCUUUCUGUCUCUUCUGUUCAUUUCACCCCUUGUGCCAGAAUAAGACCUGCAGCCAAAAACCACUGACAUGUGGGGGGUAUGAGGGGACAACGUCUGGGAAGUUAGUGACUCCAUUUGGAAGGGAUUUCCUUAAGAACACUCAGCCGAGACAAGAGGGCAAACAAACAAACGCAGACACACCAAAGGCUGCUUCCCAUCCAUCACAUUUCAGCCGCUCAGCAAGUCAUAUGGUGGCCUGAGGUUUCUGACUCUGGUAAACUUGUAAUAACAUCCCAUUUGACUUGUCUGGAUAAUCAGAGUGUGUGUUCUCUUACCACCUCCAGCCCUUGGGCACCUGCUGGCUGUAGUUUCUGCUUACUCUUCCAGCAGCACAGAUAACACAGUGGUCAGUGAGCGCACCAUUAGCAUUACUAAAGCCGUCUCAUUCAGGACUAAUUGAUUCAGAGGCUUAUUUGCCUCAGCCGUGAGGCGUUAAGUGCUGAUAUGUUUACGUUGGCUGAAUAAGAACGGCUUCAUGCAGCCAUGAAUUACUGCCCAGUCCUGUAGAAAGAAGUGUUCCUGAAUUUUUACUUUAUAUGUAGGUGUUUUUAUAAUGUUGUACAUUGUUUAAAGAGGAAUUACCACAGAAUGACUCAUCUGAUAGCAAGCCAGCUUUCACUUCUUACUCAUAUAUUCCACGUCUGGGAUGGCUGCAGUUUCCUCAUUAGCACUGCUCUGGAGUACAGAGGGUGCAAUGGACUGUGAAUAGCAAGACAAGACAGCUCCCUGCUAUUACAGAACUGAAGGAAAUAAACGACUGUGAACAAACUGACAAAGUGACAAGAACCACCACGGAGCGAGAGGCUGGAGUGAGGGCCUUACAGCUGUUUUCUGGAGAUAAUUGAUUUUGGAAUAGACCAGAGAUGAGAGCGGACAGGCGGGGGUGAUGGCGCGCUGCAGCGGGGUCCAACCAAUUUCCGCAGGCCUUGUCCCUUUAAUUACUGUGGUGCUAGAGCACGAGAUGCGCCCACUCUCCCAUCCAGGUAAAUUAAAGCCACUUGCUCAACCAACCCUGCUGCAUCCCCCAUCACCCAGUGGUCUGAUGAAUUUUUCAUGGGUUGGCCUCUCUCCUUCCCUGGUCUGCCGCUGUGGCUGGAGGCAGUGCUGUUGGUGCCUUUUCUCAUGCACACUUAGAGCUUUCCAUCUGACAGCUUAUGAGGAGAAUGUUGCAUAGACAUGGAUAAAUCAGGGAAUGAUUCUACUGUUGACUUUUUUUCAAUCUGUCUGGAUUCUCAAGACCUAAAUGAGCAAUAAUAGCCUACAGAUUUGUCAAUAAGAGCAACAACAUGCUCAGAUGCCUUAAGUGAUAAUUUGUGCUUAUUUCAUUAUUAGGCUCUCAAGAGGCUAACAUGGACAUAGUUUAAGUGGACAAGCUGCUUGUUUUGUACUCUGUUUUGGACCCCUUAUUAACCCUAACCUCUCAUCUCCUAGCUGUACCCAUCAUGCCUCCCCUUGACUCUGUGCACAAUAGGAGCAGAGCAGUGCAUCUUAUGGAAAGAGACAUGUGGUGGUGUGUUCUGCAGGGUUAAUCCCCCCGUGGGGGAAGAUGACAGGAUCUCGGUGGCCCUGAAUAUGUAUCAAACUGCCACAAGUCACAUUCCAAACCAGUUUAAAUCGGACGCUUUUAGCAAGAGUCCUGCCUGCAGAGCAGUUAGGCCCCCCAUUAUAAUAUUAUAAUAGUCUAUUAAUGUUGUUACAACACUAGCUGUGUCUAAGGCAUUGUUUGCAUCCCAAUAAUGUCAGUGCUUGUUUUUCUUAGUAUUUGUGUUGAUUUGACCUUCUGCAGCUGUGUCUUGAAGUGAGUUGAAUCUCCAGCUUCAAGGGACAAUAGAGCUGACAACUCUGACAGGUAUUGAAUGACAAAUAAGAGUAGGAAUGCAAUGAGAUGUUGAUCGAUAUGCCUUUGUUUAAAUCAACUGCUUGUAUUCUAUUUCAUUUUUUAGCAUAAUAUUUUGCAUAUAUCUAAAAUAUAUAUAGGAAUCCACCACAGCUAAAUUAUUUGCAGGUCUACAGUAUUCUCUGUCUGGUUUACUCACCGAGAAGCAGUAGCUUACCAUAAUCACUUGAGUGCAGUUGUUUGAACACCCUGUGGCUUUUGGGUGAAAAGAGAAUGUAACUGGAUUCUAAAUUUACCUUCAAUAAAAAUAAGAUGGAAUGAAGUGUGGCGAUAUUCUGUGGCAAUCCAAAACAAAAGACUAAAUCAAGUGUUUCAAAGCAAUGAUUAGUGAAGACAGUUUUUAUACCAGAUAUUAAAGAAAAUAUUUACAGGAUAUCACAAUCAGACUGGGUGAUGUGAAUUAAUUGUUGUGGUAUUAAUAUUGAAACCUACACUAAUUGAUCCUGUGAUAAUAAAUGCAGAUUUGUAAAAACCCUACCUGGUACAAGUUUAAUUUCUUUGUCUUCCUCAUUUUGCAUGCAAAGGUUAUGCAAACAUUUGCACUCAACUGCACAUCAUAAUUAUAAUCUCACUUAAGGAGAAUGUUGUCAAGUUCAGGGCUAAUGACUUUUAUGGGUCAUGGAUAAAGUCAAUUAUUUUGCUAUGAUAAUUUCUGAGUUCAGCAGACCUUCAGAUUUUGCCCUUUGGUCUUGUUUCUUUCAAGGUAAGAAACUAAAAAUCAUAGUAGGUAUGGUUUAUUCUGUCUGUCCUCUCAUUUUCAGAAAGAGAGACAGGCUGCUAGACAAUGAGCAUACCAUCAUAAUCCAUCACUAUUUAAUGAGACCAGGAGUGUGGUAUCAGGAAAAUCUCCAGGAACGCACAGUAAUGAGGAUAUGAUAUCAAGGGGGAAUCGGAUACCCAGAAACGCUUGGUCCCAUCUGCAUUAUAAAAGGAAGAAAGGUUGACAAUCACAGUUCAUCACUCCCAGAAAUCCAAGGAAUGAUUGACAAUUUCACAGGCAGAGCAAAUUACAGUGAAGAUUUGUGUUCAGAAUUAGACCCUGGAUAUCGCUUUAGAUGACCUUGAGGAAACAUUGGCACAAUGGUUGAAAAAAGUUUUAGUCUGACUUUAUAAAUUCCAAAGCCUGAUGAAAAUACAGUACAUAAGUAUAAGAGUAUAACAGUACUUUAUAUAGUCAGGAAAUCACAUUAGGUCAAAGGCGUGUCAUUCCAAUCAGCAGUGAUGGCAUUAGAAAGGGUCACCUGUUUAAACCACUUGGAUACUGAUUAAGAACAUCUGAAAAGAUUGUAUAGUUUUGUUAACAGUGGUAUUUAUGAAUUGCACAUGGUUGACACAGUGGAUUACAGAUGGUACUGCACUGAGUUAUGAAGAAAAAGAAAGGAGUAAGAAGUGAUGAAAAGAGCAGGAAGUACAGAUUUCCGAGUAUUAACUGAGAAACAAGAAGGGAAUGGCUACAACGCAUGAAUGUGCAAUACAGACACCUGAAACUUCCACAAAGACGCACAGACAGCUUUACACAAUAUAAGUGAGAUACUAUCUUCCUGAUAAUGUCUGCUUUAGAAACCAGUGUUGUGGAAAAACACACCUCAGUCAGAAAGAGCAUUUUAAAGACCACAUGUUAAAUUUGGACCAAACUUGCUGGACAGGUUUAUGCCACAGUGUGCAAUUUCCACAGUCACCGCUCCUCACUUGGACAUAGUAUAAUAGAGUGAACUUGACAAAGGACAUUUAAUUUAAUAGAAUUUUUAUCCAACUCCUGCAUGAGUGCUGACAGAUCUGACUGAUUGAGAAACUGCUUAAAAGAGUGUUGCAGUUAUAUGUGAGUCUAUCGAAAAUAAGAUUGGCCUUGAAGCAGAUGGCUGUUUUCAUAAUCUGAAAAAUUAAGAAAAUGAAUUUGAUAUCAUAAGGACUUUUUUUUUUGUUAGCCGUACACUGAAAAUGGUUGUUUUGCUUGUAUUUUAAUAUAAUUAAAAUAUACAAAAGGCAAAGAUAAAAUAUGAAAAUGCUUUAUUUUUUAAAAAUAAAGUUGUCUCACUCUGUUGUCUGCGUAAAGAUAUCAAAAUAAAUUUCAUCCUGUGAGAGAAAUAGCUCAUCACCUUUGAUUAGCUAAUGAGGUUCUUGUAAAUACACGUUAUGAAUAUUUUAGAAAUGGACGUAUGUGUGUAGGUUGGUGGCUUUAGACAAUUAGGGCUACAUAUAAAUUUUUUAUUCAUUCAGUGGCCAUGUGCUGUCCUUAUAUCCAGCUUAACUGUUCACACGUAAAUAUUAUUCUGACACGUCCAGUGAUAUCAGACAUCUCCACAUCUGCUCCAAUAUUGAUUACUAAUGCACCAUACAGCAUUCUAAUUCAAUAUACAUCAAAUUUCUAAAAUUAACAGCUGCUUUAGCCUUUGCUCCUUAUUU
This is a long non-coding RNA of Hemibagrus wyckioides, 13554 nucleotides long. RefSeq lists it as uncharacterized. Lineage: Eukaryota; Metazoa; Chordata; Actinopteri; Siluriformes; Bagridae. The record is from RefSeq and is a predicted model, not a curated record. The transcript has 6 exons.